This 1490-nucleotide ribosomal RNA is filed under the name Lactiplantibacillus plantarum. RNAcentral's name for it is "bacterial SSU rRNA". It matches the Rfam family "Bacterial small subunit ribosomal RNA". The record is from RNAcentral. Lineage: Bacteria; Bacillati; Bacillota; Bacilli; Lactobacillales; Lactobacillaceae.
GACGAACGCUGGCAGCGUGCCUAAUACAUGCAAGUCGAACGAACUCUGGUAUUGAUUGGUGCUUGCAUCAUGAUUUACAUUUGAGUGAGUGGCGAACUGGUGAGUAACACGUGGGAAACCUGCCCAGAAGCGGGGGAUAACACCUGGAAACAGAUGCUAAUACCGCAUAACAACUUGGACCGCAUGGUCCGAGUUUGAAAGAUGGCUUCGGCUAUCACUUUUGGAUGGUCCCGCGGCGUAUUAGCUAGAUGGUGAGGUAACGGCUCACCAUGGCAAUGAUACGUAGCCGACCUGAGAGGGUAAUCGGCCACAUUGGGACUGAGACACGGCCCAAACUCCUACGGGAGGCAGCAGUAGGGAAUCUUCCACAAUGGACGAAAGUCUGAUGGAGCAACGCCGCGUGAGUGAAGAAGGGUUUCGGCUCGUAAAACUCUGUUGUUAAAGAAGAACAUAUCUGAGAGUAACUGUUCAGGUAUUGACGGUAUUUAACCAGAAAGCCACGGCUAACUACGUGCCAGCAGCCGCGGUAAUACGUAGGUGGCAAGCGUUGUCCGGAUUUAUUGGGCGUAAAGCGAGCGCAGGCGGUUUUUUAAGUCUGAUGUGAAAGCCUUCGGCUCAACCGAAGAAGUGCAUCGGAAACUGGGGAACUUGAGUGCAGAAGAGGACAGUGGAACUCCAUGUGUAGCGGUGAAAUGCGUAGAUAUAUGGAAGAACACCAGUGGCGAAGGCGGCUGUCUGGUCUGUAACUGACGCUGAGGCUCGAAAGUAUGGGUAGCAAACAGGAUUAGAUACCCUGGUAGUCCAUACCGUAAACGAUGAAUGCUAAGUGUUGGAGGGUUUCCGCCCUUUCAGUGCUGCAGCUAACGCAUUAAGCAUUCCGCCUGGGGAGUACGGCCGCAAGGCUGAAACUCAAAGGAAUUGACGGGGGCCCGCACAAGCGGUGGAGCAUGUGGUUUAAUUCGAAGCUACGCGAAGAACCUUACCAGGUCUUGACAUACUAUGCAAAUCUAAGAGAUUAGACGUUCCCUUCGGGGACAUGGAUACAGGUGGUGCAUGGUUGUCGUCAGCUCGUGUCGUGAGAUGUUGGGUUAAGUCCCGCAACGAGCGCAACCCUUAUUAUCAGUUGCCAGCAUUAAGUUGGGCACUCUGGUGAGACUGCCGGUGACAAACCGGAGGAAGGUGGGGAUGACGUCAAAUCAUCAUGCCCCUUAUGACCUGGGCUACACACGUGCUACAAUGGAUGGUACAACGAGUUGCGAACUCGCGAGAGUAAGCUAAUCUCUUAAAGCCAUUCUCAGUUCGGAUUGUAGGCUGCAACUCGCCUACAUGAAGUCGGAAUCGCUAGUAAUCGCGGAUCAGCAUGCCGCGGUGAAUACGUUCCCGGGCCUUGUACACACCGCCCGUCACACCAUGAGAGUUUGUAACACCCAAAGUCGGUGGGGUAACCUUUUAGGAACCAGCCGCCUAAGGUGGGACAGAUGAUUAGGGUG